GUGAGUAACACGUGGAUAACCUACCUAUAAGACUGGAUAACUUCGGGAAACCGGAGCUAAUACCGGAUAAUAUUUUGAACCGCAUGGUUCAAAAGUGAAAGACGGUCUUGCUGUCACUUAUAGAUGGAUCCGCGCUGCAUUAGCUAGUUGGUAAGGUAACGGCUUACCAAGGCAACGAUGCAUAGCCGACCUGAGAGGGUGAUCGGCCACACUGGAACUGAGACACGGUCCAG
This 233-nucleotide ribosomal RNA is filed under the name uncultured Staphylococcus sp. Its description in RNAcentral is "partial 16S ribosomal RNA". It matches the Rfam family "Bacterial small subunit ribosomal RNA", at positions 106 to 334 of the family's 1533-position model. Lineage: Bacteria; Bacillati; Bacillota; Bacilli; Caryophanales; Staphylococcaceae. The record is from RNAcentral.